UGGUGGAGUGAUCAGUCAUCCAUCCCUGCAGCUCCCAGGGGGUUUGCACUGGCUUUGGAGAGCAGGACAGUGAUGCUUCCCCAAGGAAUUGAGUCCCUUUACCUUAUUCCACCCCCUGAGCUCAGGAAGUCCAUAGCACAGGGAAAACUGUAGACAAGGAGAGACCAUAUGGUAAAUAGGUAGGAAAAACGAGGUUUAGAAGCGUCAUGUACCUGUUUCCUGUGUGUUCAGUGUAAAAAUGCUUGCAAAAUAGAGAAAACAACACUCUCCUUCACAUACAGCUGGAUGUGAGAGGACUUCUCCUGGUGGAUCAUACUUUUUGGGUAGAAGCCCUUCCUGACAGCUUGGGGUCCAGGCUAAGCGCGUUUUCCAACCCUUCCCCUGUAAAGAAUACACUGGAUGUUGUAUAUUUGCUCAUUGUUUUAUAUAUAGCUUUUAACCUUGCUUCACAGCAGAAGCUUUCUCAGGGUGAAGUUGUUCCACAGCCUUCCCCAGGUACCUCACUUCAGAGAGCUCUUUAUACUCAGUGAUUCCAGACUGUUCCAGCAUGAAUCCUUCCCCAAGGCCCAAGAGGGCACAGGGGCCAUUCCUGCUUCCCAUCGAGCAGUGUUUACCCACAUUUCACAAGGCAAAAGGGUUCUAGAGGAGAACAGACAUGUUGUUUGGAGGGGACAUGAGUUUCCUGAAGUUUCUGCUGGGUUUAUUGUCUCCUUGAGACUUAAUUGCUGCAGAGAUGGGAACUGAGCACAAAGGAGUUUGCUGCACGCAGCGACCUGCAUCCUGUUCUUCCAUGUGUGGAGGAAAAAACCCCUUUCCUGCUGGGUUUUUUCUGUCUUCAUGUCUCCAUUGUGAAAUGACCCAAACAAAAACAAAACAAGGCAGGAAAAUGUGGCUGAUAUAGAAAGGUUUUAAUGUUCUGCCCUAAUGUGCUUCCUUUUCUCCACGCAGUGGCUGAGAGAAGCAGUGAGUGCAGCAGUGGUAUUCUUGGAUGCCCCACAGAAAAUCCCUGUCUGUGUUCUGAUAAGCCAGCAAAGCCUCUGGAAUACAUGAAUAAAUUAAACCAGUGAAAAAUCCUGCUGAAAUCAGUGGGACAACCUACAUCCAUAACAUUAUGCCUGUGCUGCUGGGCUGUGCCAGCUCUAGGUCCCUGUGGGAAAAAGCAGGCACAGCCACAUUUGCUUUAUGGAAUUUUCCAGAUGUUUGGAGUCUCCAGAAUGUUUCUGCCUUAUUUUUUAAUUAAGGUAUCAAGUAAUUGUUGUAUUCCACUAUGAAAAAGGGAAAAGGAAGCACAAGUGUGAGCCUGAGUGUUAUAAACCGUGUUAUUUAUUCCAGAAAUUCCUCAGUAAAACCUAUAAUUCCAAUUUCUGUUACAACCUUUGUGUAUUCCGGGGUGUGUACUUUUCACAACGGAGUAUGGGAGCAGGUCUAGCCUAGGGAAGGCUAAUUUGUGCCUCGGUUUGGUUUGAGGUCUCUCUGGUCGAAGAUUUCCUGAUGUAGCAUCCUUCAUCCCGGUGCAGUUACAUGUGGAUAAUCUCAUGUCUCCUUUUCUUCCUGCCACAAACCCAGCAGGAAUGUUUUGAUCCAUUCCUCAUUGGAGUUAUCCAGGGGCCUGGGGAAUCCCAUUGGCUAAAGCAGACAGGAACAGAGACGGAUCGUUUGGUACCCUGUCUUACAGCUGGAGGAGACAGGAUGUUCAUCCCGGCCCAAGGGGCUUUUCCCAGGGGACCGGCACAGCUACCUCUGCUCCCCGUCCUUCCAUAGAAACAAGGACAAAGCCAGAGCUACAACUGUCCCACUGCCACCACAGCAGGACAGGGCCGAUUUGCUUUGUACAUAUCAAGUGGUUUGUGAUGAAGUUGUAUUUUUACAGUCCACCAUUAAGACAGUUGCCUCUGCCUUGAAGAAUGAGGUUGUCCAAUGCGUUGAUCAACUCUGUGUGUUGCUUUUCUGAUGAGACACAAUAAACCCUGACCAGAA
Molecule: long non-coding RNA, 1977 nt
Filed under: Strigops habroptila (Kakapo)
Lineage: Eukaryota; Metazoa; Chordata; Aves; Psittaciformes; Psittacidae
Description: lncRNA (ENSSHBG00005004254.1)
Source: RNAcentral